CCAGAGGUGUACGACCUGUAUGCCAUGGCCCACACUGGCUCUUACAAAAAAGUCAAGGCAUUCUCUGCGUCUGACCUCGAUGAUCCAAAAAACUUCACCAACAUCUCCUCCCACGACAAGCUCGUGAGAUAUAGAGAUGAGGGGAAGGCGUGGAAAGGGGAGGACUUUAACCUGAGCCAAGGUCCCAUUGAUACAGAGCUGCUGAUGAUAUCUGGUGGUGGGAGGUCCCAUGGCUCCAUAGCCAUGGGAGAUGGACUUAUCCGUUGUCCUAGCACUCUCCCGGAGAUCAAGGCGCGUCAGUCGAGCUCCGCUCCUGAGAUAAGGCCUCGUGAACGGCCAGUCCAACUCGCCUUCAAG
RNAcentral lists this ribosomal RNA (357 nucleotides) under Triticum aestivum (bread wheat). Its description in RNAcentral is "partial small subunit ribosomal RNA". Lineage: Eukaryota; Viridiplantae; Streptophyta; Magnoliopsida; Poales; Poaceae. The record is from RNAcentral.